UGGGGAAUCUUGCACAAUGGGCGAAAGCCUGAUGCAGCGACGCCGCGUGCAGGAUGAAGGCCUUCGGGUUGUAAACCGCUUUCAGCAGGGACGAGGCCGCAAGGUGACGGUACCUGCAGAAGAAGCCCCGGCUAACUACGUGCCAGCAGCCGCGGUAAUACGUAGGGGGCAAGCGUUAUCCGGAUUCAUUGGGCGUAAAGCGCGCGUAGGCGGUUUGUUAGGUCAGGAGUUAAAUCUGGGGGCUCAACCCCUAUCCGCUCCUGAUACCGGCAGGCUUGAGUCUGGUAGGGGAAGGCGGAAUUCCAAGUGUAGCGGUGAAAUGCGCAGAUAUUUGGAAGAACACCGGUGGCGAAGGCGGCCUUCUGGGCCACGACUGACGCUGAGGCGCGAAAGCUAGGGGAGCGAACAGG
Molecule: ribosomal RNA, 410 nt
Filed under: Verrucomicrobiota bacterium
Lineage: Bacteria; Pseudomonadati; Verrucomicrobiota
Description: Verrucomicrobia bacterium partial 16S ribosomal RNA
Rfam family: Bacterial small subunit ribosomal RNA
Source: RNAcentral